AACAAAAACACGCUUCCGUCCCACGUCUCUCCAGCACAUUGACAACUACCCACUACCUCCUCCCUUCUCUCUCUCUCUCUCUAUAUCUAAACCCCGCGUCCCACCGGCGUCACUCCCACCGGCGUUACUCCCACGCUUCCCCGCGCUCUCGCACCCAAACGCUAACCUCAUUCGGUCAUUCCACACCUAACCAGAACUCGGAACCCCUAACCACCGCGCUCAAUGUCGAUCGAAGACGACGAAGAAUCGCUCGAGCACACUCUCCUCGUCGUCCGCGAGGUCUCCGUCUUCAAGAUCCCACCACGGUCCACCUCGGGCGGCUACAAGUGCGGCGAGUGGCUCCAGUCCGACAAGAUCUGGACCGGCCGCCUCCGCGUCGUCUCCCGCCACGACCGCUGCGAGAUCCGCCUCGAGGACCCCAGCGCCGCCUUCGGAGAGGAACUCUUCGCCGCCUGCUUCGUCUACCCCGGCCAGCGUGAGGCCUCCGUCGAGCCCGUGCUCGACUCGUCCAGGUAUUUUGUUUUGAGGAUCGAGGACGGGAGGGGGAAGCACGCCUUCAUCGGGCUAGGGUUUGGGGAGAGGAACGAGGCGUUUGAUUUCAACGUGGCGUUGUCGGAUCACGAGAAGUACGUGAAGAGGGAGGGUGAGAAGGAGGAGGAGAGUGAAGAUGGGCAGAUUGAUAUUCAUCCCGCUGUGAAUCAUAGACUCAAGGAAGGUGAAACCAUCCGAAUAAAUGUGAAGAAUAAGUCAUCUGCUGGUACUGGCAUGCUUUCAGCUGCUGGUUUAUCUGGAGGGCUAUCUGGAACAGCAAAGCCUAAAGCUCUGAGCCUUUCCCCUCCACCUGUUGGGGGUGGAAAAAUAAGGUCUCCUCUACCACCCCCACCUAAUGAUCCUGUUGCUGCUCGGAUGACUUCCACGAGUCAUGGUGUUGGUCUCAAGGGGACCAAGGAGAAUGUGAGACGAUCUACUGAUCCUCUUUCAGAUCUCUCUCAAUUAGAGAGGAACCUUCCUUCUACAGCUGGAUCAGCAUCGACAAAGACUAGUGCAGCUGGAUGGGCAGCAUUUUAAUUGUGUCAUGAAUAUGAUUGAAAUCUUUGUUUGCUGUUAUGCUGAGAAAGAAAAGAAAAUCAAACAAAUGAAAGAGAAUUCAAGUUGACUGAUGCAAAUUACCACCAACACAUCUGGGGCGGCCCCAUCUAUUUGGCCGAAGAUAAACCUAGUUUGGUUAAAUCAGCCUGAUUCAAGUAUCACGGGUAGUUCUGUGGGUUUGUUUCUUUAACAUUGCUUCGGGUAUUGUGGCAAAAAUGUAUUACCAUGGUCAUGUGGGCUAACAACUCAUUUCUUUCCCCCAAUUUGUCUGGCACAAAAACCCUGGAGAUGAAUUGUAUUGCGUGUCGUGCUUAGAUCA
Rhododendron vialii is the source of this 1408-nucleotide RNA transcript. RefSeq lists it as uncharacterized. The transcript has 4 exons. Lineage: Eukaryota; Viridiplantae; Streptophyta; Magnoliopsida; Ericales; Ericaceae. The record is from RefSeq and is a predicted model, not a curated record.